UAGGGAAUCUUCCACAAUGGGCGCAAGCCUGAUGGAGCAACGCCGCGUGAGUGAAGAAGGUCUUCGGAUCGUAAAGCUCUGUUGUUAAAGAAGAACACGUAUGAGAGUAACUGUUCAUACGUUGACGGUAUUUAACCAGAAAGUCACGGCUAACUACGUGCCAG
Molecule: ribosomal RNA, 164 nt
Filed under: uncultured bacterium
Lineage: Bacteria
Description: partial 16S rRNA
Rfam family: Bacterial small subunit ribosomal RNA
Source: RNAcentral